GGAAAAGAAACUAACAAGGAUUCCCCUAGUAACGGCGAGUGAAGCGGGAAGAGCUCAAAUUUAAAAUCUGGCAGGCUACGCUUGUCCGAAUUGUAAUCUCGAGAAGUGUUUUCCGCGUUGGCCUGUGUACAAGUCCCUUGGAACAGGGCGUCAUAGAGGGUGAGAAUCCCGUCCUUGACACAGACACCCAAUGCUUUGUGAUACACUCUCAAUGAGUCGAGUUGUUUGGGAAUGCAGCUCAAAAUGGGUGGUAAAUUCCAUCUAAAGCUAAAUACUGGCGAGAGACCGAUAGCGAACAAGUACCGUGAGGGAAAGAUGAAAAGCACUUUGGAAAGAGAGUCAAACAGUACGUGAAAUUGUUGAAAGGGAAACGAUUGAAGUCAGUCGUGCCUGCCUAGAUUCAGCCUUCUGGUGUAUUUCUAGGUCGGCAGGUCAGCAUCAGUUUGGGGGGGUUAACAAGGGAGCUGGGAAUGUGGCAACCUCGGUUGUGUUAUAGCCCAGUUUCGCAUUGAUCUCGCUGGACUGAGGAACGCAGUGCGCCCGCAAGGGUUGGUCUUCGGACACAUUCGCACUUAGGAUGCUGGCAUAAUGGCUUUAAACGAC
This 603-nucleotide ribosomal RNA is filed under the name Cystofilobasidium sp. KCTC 17060. RNAcentral describes it as "eukaryotic LSU rRNA". It matches the Rfam family "Eukaryotic large subunit ribosomal RNA", at positions 55 to 648 of the family's 3401-position model. The record is from RNAcentral. Lineage: Eukaryota; Fungi; Basidiomycota; Tremellomycetes; Cystofilobasidiales; Cystofilobasidiaceae.